UUUCUUCUUAUAAACCUUUAUUAACCUUUAUAAAAAAAUAAAAAAAUAAAAAAAAAUUAAUGGUCACAUAUAUGGAAAAUGGUGGCUGGCAAUGUGCUAUUUUAGAGUGGUGUGAACCCAAUUUUAUAAAAUUCAAAUCCCAUUUAAUUAAGAAGUCAAGUGGGCAAGUAGGUAGAAAAGCACUCAAGUAUUUUGUGAAAUUUUGAAGAGUUGUGUGAGCCAUUCUAACCCCCAAAUCCGACCACUCUCCCUCCCUCAUUCACUCUCAUCUGAUUUUUGAAGACUCUCUCAAGUGUUCUCUCCAUUUUGAACCCCAAGAACACCAAAGAAACUUGGAAGCUAAGUCUUGGUCUAGGAAGGGUUUUCCCUAAGUUGGUUAGGGUUUUUGAAAGGUUUUGAAGGAGUCAAAGCUUAUAGGAAGGUCCAAACCUUAAGCAAGAACACCAAAGAGUAUUGGCUAAGCGUAACUGGACUGAACGUUGGAGGGUGAAAACUUGCUGAGCGCUAAGGACUCCAAGUAAGAGCAAGGGCAAGGCAGAGCAGUGAGCGCUGGAGUCUUCCUUGCAAAUGUACAUGUGGACCGACCUUUUGGGAAGCCUUUUUAUUUUUGGAAAUGUUGUGUAAUUUUCCUAAACUAGGCUCACUCUAAUCUUUGUAAAACAUGUUUGUAACUAAAUGUUAAGUAUGGCCAUACGACUUUUUAAAAAGUUUUUUUUUCUAUGGGUUUUUGAGACAUUUUGUUAAAUGAAAACAUUUAUAUUUCCGCAUUAUCGAGUCUUGAAAAUCCGGGUCGUUACACCAGUGGGACCAGAAAAGACCCGAGUAGUCUGUGAGUUUCUGGACGUGUUUCCAGAGGAUCUGCCAGGGUUACCUCCACACAGGGAGAUUGAGUUUGCAAUUCAAUUGGCGCUAGGGACAGAGCCAGUGUCUAGGGAACCUUAUAGGAUGGUGUCGGGUGAGCUGAAGGAACUGAAGUUUCAACUACAAGAAUUACUGGACUUAGGUUAUAUCAGGCCUAGUUUCUUGCCAUGGGGCGCACUGGUCCUCUUUGUGAAGAAAGAUGAUGGUUCUCUGUGGGUGUGUA
Molecule: long non-coding RNA, 1084 nt
Organism: Humulus lupulus (European hop)
Lineage: Eukaryota; Viridiplantae; Streptophyta; Magnoliopsida; Rosales; Cannabaceae
Exons: 4
Source: RefSeq, a predicted model, not a curated record